GUGGCAAGGAGUGGGAGGGAAACUGCCAGAAAGAUCAAGAGCAGGCAGGCCACCUUAUAUUCCUCCUCAGGAGAUGAAGUAUCAGCUUUCAGAUUAGCAAUGGCAGCCACCAAGGCUGGGUCAAUGUCACAGCCCACACCUGCAGCAGAUGCCAGCUCAAAGAUACUCAAGGUCACCUUGAUGUCUGUGUCUGGAGUGACAAACUCCUUCAAGCACUCAAUGGGACCCAUAAGAAAUGGGCAGUGGGAGGAGAAAACCUCCCGAAGUCCCUCUUGGGCCAUGGCCCUGAAACUGAG
RNAcentral lists this long non-coding RNA (296 nucleotides) under Homo sapiens (human). Its description in RNAcentral is "LNC_000927". Lineage: Eukaryota; Metazoa; Chordata; Mammalia; Primates; Hominidae. The record is from RNAcentral.